UGGGGAAUUUUGGACAAUGGGCGAAAGCCUGAUCCAGCAAUGCCGCGUGUGUGAAGAAGGCCUUCGGGUUGUAAAGCACUUUUGUCCGGAAAGAAAUCCUUGGCUCUAAUACAGUCGGGGGAUGACGGUACCGGAAGAAUAAGCACCGGCUAACUACGUGCCAGCAGCCGCGGUAAUACGUAGGGUGCAAGCGUUAAUCGGAAUUACUGGGCGUAAAGCGUGCGCAGGCGGUUUGCUAAGACCGAUGUGAAAUCCCCGGGCUCAACCUGGGAACUGCAUUGGUGACUGGCAGGCUAGAGUAUGGCAGAGGGGGGUAGAAUUCCACGUGUAGCAGUGAAAUGCGUAGAGAUGUGGAGGAAUACCGAUGGCGAAGGCAGCCCCCUGGGCCAAUACUGACGCUCAUGCACGAAAGCGUGGGGAGCAAACAGGAUUAGAUACCCUGGUAGUCCACGCCCUAAACGAUGUCAACUAGUUGUUGGGGAUUCAUUUCCUUAGUAACGUAGCUAACGCGUGAAGCUGACCGCCUGGGGAGUACGGUCGCAAGAUUAAAACUCAAAGGAAUUGACGGGGUCAUAGCUGUUUCCU
RNAcentral lists this ribosomal RNA (585 nucleotides) under uncultured bacterium. RNAcentral describes it as "partial 16S ribosomal RNA". It matches the Rfam family "Bacterial small subunit ribosomal RNA", at positions 355 to 1375 of the family's 1533-position model. The record is from RNAcentral.